GGGCAAGUAGCCAAGUGGCCAACGGCAGCAGACUGUAAAUCUGCCCUCUUCGGAGUUCGGUGGUUCGAAUCCAUCCUUGCCCACCA
This 86-nucleotide transfer RNA is filed under the name Chitinophagaceae bacterium. RNAcentral describes it as "tRNA-Tyr". It matches the Rfam family "tRNA". From Rfam's summary of the family: Transfer RNA (tRNA) molecules are approximately 80 nucleotides in length. The record is from RNAcentral. RNAcentral also lists the same sequence under 2 other names. Lineage: Bacteria; Pseudomonadati; Bacteroidota; Chitinophagia; Chitinophagales; Chitinophagaceae.